This 346-nucleotide ribosomal RNA is filed under the name uncultured Glomus. Its description in RNAcentral is "SSU rRNA". It matches the Rfam family "Eukaryotic small subunit ribosomal RNA", at positions 569 to 921 of the family's 1831-position model. The record is from RNAcentral. Lineage: Eukaryota; Fungi; Glomeromycota; Glomeromycetes; Glomerales; Glomeraceae.
AGCAGCCGCGGUAAUUCCAGCUCCAAUAGCGUAUAUUAAAGUUGUUGCAGUUAAAAAGCUCGUAGUUGAAUUUCGGGAUCAAAUUGUCGGUCGUGCCUCGGUACGCACUGGCGUUAUUGGUUCCUCCCUUCUGAAGAACCGCGAUGUCAUUAAUUUGGUGUCGCGGGGAAUCAGGACUGUUACUUUGAAAAAUUAGAGUGUUUAAAGCAAGCUCGCGCUUGAAUACAUUAGCAUGGAAUAAUGAAAUAGGACGUUUGAUUCUAUUUUGUUGGUUUCUAGGAUCGACGUAAUGAUUAAUAGGGAUAGUUGGGGGCAUUAGUAUUCAAUUGUCAGAGGUGAAAUUCUU